GAUGAACGCUGGCGGCGUGCCUAAUACAUGCAAGUCGAGCGAACGGACGAGAAGCUUGCUUCUCUGAUGUUAGCGGCGGACGGGUGAGUAACACGUGGAUAACCUACCUAUAAGACUGGGAUAACUUCGGGAAACCGGCGCUAAUACCGGAUAAUAUUUUGAACCGCAUGGUUCAAAAGUGAAAGACGGUCUUGCUGUCACUUAUAGAUGGAUCCGCGCUGCAUUAGCUAGUUGGUAAGGUAACGGCUUACCAAGGCAACGAUGCAUAGCCGACCUGAGAGGGUGAUCGGCCACACUGGAACUGAGACACGGUCCAGAGUCCUACGGGAGGCAGCAGUAGGGAAUCUUCCGCAAUGGGCGAAAGCCUGACGGAGCAACGCAGCGUGAGUGAUGAAGGUCUUCGGAUCGUAAAACUCUGUUAUUAGGGAAGAACAUAUGUGUAAGUAACUGUGCACAUCUUGACGGUACCUAAUCAGAAAGCCACGGCUAACUACGUG
RNAcentral lists this ribosomal RNA (497 nucleotides) under uncultured bacterium. Its description in RNAcentral is "partial 16S ribosomal RNA". It matches the Rfam family "Bacterial small subunit ribosomal RNA", at positions 28 to 507 of the family's 1533-position model. The record is from RNAcentral.